RNAcentral lists this long non-coding RNA (310 nucleotides) under Elaeis guineensis (African oil palm). Its description in RNAcentral is "long non-coding RNA (EGUI_LNC064363)". The record is from RNAcentral. Lineage: Eukaryota; Viridiplantae; Streptophyta; Magnoliopsida; Arecales; Arecaceae.
UCUCUCUUUCUCUUCUCUUGGGUGUUCUAUACACCCCUUUCUUGGGAUGCAUGUCCCAAAGGGUUCCAUGCUCAAAAGAGUUUGGGUGCCUCUUUCUUGCUGGUUUCUAGCAUCUAGUAGCAGCACAUAGCAAGAAAAAACUCUAGAGAGGAGGAGAAAAAGAAGAUCAAGGAGAAAGAUCAACUAUUGAUCACUGUUGCUGCCAAUCCCCUCAUCGCCUGUUCGUCGGGAACGAGCACUAGUAAAAUGAAAUCCGCACUGACCGGAGUUAUCUCUGGUGGGGACCCUUUGAUGCUUAAGUUAGAGGGAG